GUUUUAUGGUGGAUUGUGUUACUUAUUUAUGGAACAUAAUUACUGUUUACCGUCUGCCGCUGGUUCUGUUGACAGUGACAGCUCCCAUAAACACGGAGAGAGCUUCGUGACAAACUUCAACUAGAAAAAGAUGCCAAUCUUGCUUGUGUUUUACUCGACAGGAAAAACUAUUUCUGGUUUGGAAUGACAUUAUGGUGAGUAAAUCAUGACUGAAUUUUAAUUUUGGAUGAACCAUGAAGUUGCAAUGUCAAAUUGAAUAAACACAUUGAUAGUACUAAAC
Molecule: long non-coding RNA, 280 nt
Organism: Carassius gibelio (silver crucian carp)
Lineage: Eukaryota; Metazoa; Chordata; Actinopteri; Cypriniformes; Cyprinidae
Exons: 3
Source: RefSeq, a predicted model, not a curated record